GUCUACGACCAUCCCACGUUGAAAGCACGACAUCUCGUCCGACCUGUCAAGUAAAGCAACGUUGGGCCUGGUUAGUACUUGGAUCGGAGACGGCCUGGGAAUCCCAGGUGUUGUAGACA
Thelazia callipaeda (thelaziosis nematode) is the source of this 119-nucleotide non-coding RNA. The record is from Rfam. NCBI's taxonomy places the organism in Eukaryota, Metazoa, Nematoda, Chromadorea, Rhabditida, Thelaziidae.